AGUGAAUAGAUACCCAGGUAGUCCCAGCCGUAAACGAUGCUCGCUAGGUGUCAGGCAUGGCGCGACCGUGUCUGGUGCCGCAGGGAAGCCGUGAAGCGAGCCACCUGGGAAGUACGGCCGCAAGGCUGAAACUUAAAGGAAUUGGCGGGGGAGCACAACAACGGGUGGAGCCUGCGGUUUAAUUGGACUCAACGCCGGACAACUCACCGGGGGCGACAGCAAUAUGUAGGCCAAGCUGAAGACUUUGCCUGAAUCGCUGAGAGGAGGUGCAUGGCCGUCGCCAGUUCGUACUGUGAAGCAUCCUGUUAAGUCAGGCAACGAGCGAGACCCGUGCCCACUGUUACCAGCAUGUCCUGGUAC
RNAcentral lists this ribosomal RNA (360 nucleotides) under uncultured bacterium. RNAcentral's name for it is "bacterial SSU rRNA". It matches the Rfam family "Archaeal small subunit ribosomal RNA", at positions 723 to 1085 of the family's 1478-position model. The record is from RNAcentral.